GGGUCAUGAUCUAGUUGUGACAUGUGCUACGCAUUGAUUGCCAAGGUUGAGUAUGCUGAACUGUCUGACAAGGUGGAUGUCCCCUUCACUCCUCACUGCUCCAUAUGUGUCCCUCCUGAAGUUAUGAUGGAAGCUGUGGUGAUUGUGCCACACAGAAGGAAUGUACCAUUUUUUGGUCAAAGAUAUACAAACUAAUUUGUUCCAGCAAUGAGAAGCCCUUGUUACAAAUAAAUAAAUAAAUAAAUAAAUAAAAUCACCCUUUCUUUUAUUUCCCAAGCAUAACUGCAUAUAGUCUAAAUAGAAAGGAAACUUAAAAGAAAU
Molecule: small nuclear RNA, 321 nt
Filed under: Ophiophagus hannah (king cobra)
Lineage: Eukaryota; Metazoa; Chordata; Lepidosauria; Squamata; Elapidae
Description: 7SK RNA
Rfam family: 7SK RNA (bases 1-271)
About the family: 7SK was discovered as an abundant small nuclear RNA in the mid-70s but a possible function has only recently been suggested. Two independent studies have found that 7SK RNA binds the CDK9/cyclin T complex (known as elongation factor P-TEFb). P-TEFb activates transcription by phosphorylating the C-terminal domain of RNA polymerase II.
Source: Rfam by way of RNAcentral